AUAUGAUGGAUGGAUAGAAAUAGC
This 24-nucleotide non-coding RNA is filed under the name Arabidopsis thaliana (thale cress). Lineage: Eukaryota; Viridiplantae; Streptophyta; Magnoliopsida; Brassicales; Brassicaceae. The record is from RNAcentral.